Molecule: long non-coding RNA, 425 nt
Filed under: Homo sapiens (human)
Lineage: Eukaryota; Metazoa; Chordata; Mammalia; Primates; Hominidae
Description: non-protein coding lnc-UTP23-8:1
Source: RNAcentral
AGGGAAACAGAUGCACUUCUGAGUGUAGUACUUGAUUCUGUCACUCACUAUUUGUCUCCAGUUUGUAUCUCAGUAGAGGUGGGUUGUAAGGUGAAAUCCAGAACAGAGCAUGUGGUGGCAGUCUCCAGGUCACUGGAGAGACAGCCCAGGCCGGCAGUAUUAGUGGUAUUGAGAUAAAUUGGCGAAAGUGAUGGUGUCUGGUGAUGCAGUAGCUCCCAGAAGAUGUCCUAGCCCUGUGUCCUGCGGAAGCAAACACCCAACACAGGGAACUGGCAUGCAGAAGGAUAAAAAGAACCAACCAAACUCAUUCACGGGGUGAGUUCCACGUUGCCAAGCCCGUGAGAAUAGGCCCAAGUGCCAUAGUCUGUUGGCCAAAACUUGAACACCGUGAAGAAGACAAAGAAAUGUACCCCAGGAAAUUCUUU